Molecule: ribosomal RNA, 403 nt
Filed under: bacterium
Lineage: Bacteria
Description: partial 16S ribosomal RNA
Rfam family: Bacterial small subunit ribosomal RNA
Source: RNAcentral
UGGGGAAUAUUGCACAAUGGGGGAAACCCUGAUGCAGCGACGCCGCGUGAACGAAGAAGGUAUUCGUAUCGUAAAGUUCUGUCCUAUGGGAAGAUAAUGACAGUACCAUAGAAGAUAGCUCCGGCUAAAUACGUGCCAGCAGCCGCGGUAAUACGUAUGGAGCGAGCGUUGUCCGGAAUUAUUGGGCGUAAAGGGUACGCAGGCGGUGUAAUAAGUCGAAUGUUAAAGAUCGGGGCUCAACCCCGCAAAGCAUUGGAAACUGAUAAACUUGAGUAGUGGAGAGGAAAGUGGAAUUCCUAGUGUAGUGGUGAAAUACGUAGAUAUUAGGAGGAAUACCAGUAGCGAAGGCGACUUGCUGGACACAAACUGACGCUGAGGUACGAAAGCGUGGGGAGCAAACAGG